Molecule: ribosomal RNA, 505 nt
Filed under: uncultured bacterium
Lineage: Bacteria
Description: partial 16S ribosomal RNA
Rfam family: Bacterial small subunit ribosomal RNA
Source: RNAcentral
GACGAACGCUGGCGGCGUGCCUAAUACAUGCCAGUAGAACGCACAGUUUAUACCGUAGCUUGCUACACCAUAAACUGUGAGUUGCGAACGGGUGAGUAACGCGUAGGUAACCUGCCUGGGAGCGGGGGAUAACUAUUGGUAACGAUAGCUAAUACCGCAUCAUCUUGAUUAUUGCAUGAUAAUUGAUUGCAAGAUGCUAUUGCAUCACUACCAGAUGGACCUGCGUUGUAUUAGCUAGUAGGUGAGGUAACGGCUCACCUAGGCGACGAUACAUAGCCGACCUGAGAGGGUGAUCGGCCACACUGGGAACUGGACACCGCCCAGACUUCUACGGGAGGCAGCAGGAGGGAAUCUUCGGAAAUGGACGAAAGUCUGGCCGAGCAACGCCGCGGUAAGGAAGAAGGUUUUCGGAUCGGAAAGCUCUGUUGUAAGAGAAGGACGGGUGUGAGGGUGGAAAGUUCACGCUGUGACGGUACCUUAACAGAAAGGGACGGCUAACUACGUG